UACGUAGGGCGCAAGCGUUGUCCGGAAUUAUUGGGCGUAAAGAGCUCGUAGGCGGCUUGUCACGUCGGGUGUGAAAGCCCGGGGCUUAACCCCGGGUCUGCAUUCGAUACGGGCUGGCUAGAGUGUGGUAGGGGAGAUCGGAAUUCCUGGUGUAGCGGUGAAAUGCGCAGAUAUCAGGAGGAACACCGGUGGCGAAGGCGGGUCUCUGGGCCAUUACUGACGCUGAGGAGCGAAAGCGUGGGGAGCGAACAGG
Molecule: ribosomal RNA, 253 nt
Filed under: uncultured bacterium
Lineage: Bacteria
Description: partial 16S ribosomal RNA
Rfam family: Bacterial small subunit ribosomal RNA
Source: RNAcentral